Non-coding RNA from Podarcis lilfordi (Lilford's wall lizard), 84 nucleotides. Lineage: Eukaryota; Metazoa; Chordata; Lepidosauria; Squamata; Lacertidae. The record is from the annotation of a GenBank genome assembly.
AGGAAGGAAGGAAGGAAGGAAGGAAGGAAGGAAAAGAGAAAGCCACUUUCUUUCCUUCCUUCCUUCCUUCCUUCCUUCCUUCCU